CCAUCGUCCCACUCUAUUAAGCAUUUGUGUGUCCUUGAUUUGGAUACUGCAUGUAACUGUGGGCCCUGUAAUACAAGAAGGCUGUGGGGAACUUGAAUGUGUCCAGAUGAGAGCUGCAAAGCUGAUAACAGGGCUGAAAGUCUUGUCCUGCGUAGAGAGGCUGCGGGUGCUUGGGCUGACCAGUCUGGAGAAUAGAAGGCUGAUAGGCAACUUCAUUGCUCUCUUCAACUUCCUGAGAAGGGGAAGAGAAGAUCUUGUCACAGAGCUGCUAUAUAGAAGAAAAUCAAGUCAAGAAGCACAACCAAGGAACAAAUUUCUGGGGGAAGGCAGAAGCAAGAAUGUUCUCAGCUAGGCUUGCUGCUGUGACAUGGAACACACUGAAGGUCAUUACUGUAUUUGUACUACUGACAGUGAGGAAGAAGGAAUCUUUAUGGAUCUUACUGAACCUGUGGUGAGUGAACUUGAUGCAGCUUUAGCAGUUCAUUGGUCAACCAGAAGCAGAAAUACUUCCCACAGUUCCAUUAAAUUUAAAAAAAAAAAAAAAUAAUAAAAAAAAAUUCAAUGGCUGUUACCAAAAAUUCAGAAGUAUGCAGCUGUUACCAGUGAAGUGACUAAAUGGGCUACAUGACACACCACUUCGGCUGGAACGAAACUGAUCAAAUUGCAGUGACAUGGAAGUCAAUUCUUCAUCUCUCUACCUCCUGAAGACCUCUUUGUAGAAAGAAGGGAUACAGCAUGUGGAGCUACUGAAUCAAGCCCAUGAAGAAAAGAUAGGUGACUGAGGGUUAGAAGAGGAGUUUGGAUGUCAAGUUCAAGCUUUCCUUCCUGACUUCUCCAUGGAUGCGCUUUGUCACGUGGCUCAACAUUCUUGGAGCUGAGAAGAUGGAGUUCUCUAAUUUUGCACACUGGUGCUCGCAAUUGCUGGAGAGUAAUUUCUUCUUGACUGUACUUCCCUGCACAGACUGACUUUGUCUUUUACCUUGUUGCCUUCUGAAGGGCAGUCAGACAUUGCAUUCAAGGCUGAGUGUCCCACCUGUUGUAGAGUUUGGAGGCAUAGUCCUUCUCUCAACCCAAAGGUACCACAGUUGAGUUUCAUCUAAGUCAUCUAGUUUUCUCCAUAGGCCAGUAGAGAAGAAUAGAAAUUUCUUGGCUGAAAAUACAAAUAAGUCAUUACUUAAGGUGUCUGAUUUUUCCUCCUUGUAUUAAACAAGCAAAACAAAUAAUUAAACAAACAAUGAAACAAAAGAAAAAAACUCCAUACACUCCAAUAAAAGAAAAAGAAAACAGCAGAGGUGAUGAGCUCAGAUAUCUGCAUCGGAGCAUUCCAGAGUUUAAUGGGAUUAAACUGUACCUCAGUUUCCCUAUGAAUAAACUAUAACAAUAGGACAUCAAUAACAGUAUAUCAAAUUAGAGUGUUGACACCCACUUCUUUAUGUGAAUGUGUUGUCUGCUUAGACAGAAUAACUCUUCAAAACAGAUGGCAAAAGGAAAAUGUUCUCUCUGUAUGUUAUGCUGCCUAUUUCCAGCAGGAUUUCGUUACUGAAGUAACCACAUUUCUUUGCACUGAGUUGCAAGGCAAAGAUCGGAUGGGACAGACCUGCCUGCACAUCUAGGAAUUGCUCCCAGUCACACAGAUGUAUUUCUGAAUAGAAAUGCAAUAGAAAAACAGUGUUGUUUCAAAAGACAUCAGCUUCUAGAAGGCCCCUGUUGGAUCUGUAAGCGAGUGGAUUGAGGAGCAUCAGAUAAUUCAUUUAUUCACAGAUUCUAAGAGUGAAAGGGUUGCAUUUUGAUCAUCAGGUCAGCUGUUUGGUGUAACGUCAGUUUCCCUUCGUCUACAUUUGUUCAGCUGUUCAACUAGAAUAUAUGUUUCAGAAGAAAACCAUACCAGACUGCAGAAUUCCUAGCUUCAUGUCUGAUCAGACAUUGUAAAGGAGUUUUUCUCAUUAAUUAAUGCUCUGUUGAAAUCAUUAUGCCUAUUUGCUAUGGAAAGAUUUAUCAAGAAAUUCACUGGAGCAGCUAACCUUGCUGUCAUGGAUUUGGUUACCCUUCCUUUUGCCUCAUUCCUGGUCCUCAAGGUUUCAGCAAAUUUCUCCCCAACUCUCAGCUUCCUGGUGAAUUUUCUAUCCCCUCUCAUUCGUGGGGUGUGACAGGAUAAUAGCAGCAAUCCAGUCCUUAUUGUCUGGAUCUGCGGAUGAACGGUGCUGUAUAAGUGUAAAGUGUUAUUAUUAUUGUAAGGAAAUAAUAAUACUAAUAAAACAAAAUGAAUCGA
Molecule: long non-coding RNA, 2269 nt
Organism: Gallus gallus (chicken)
Lineage: Eukaryota; Metazoa; Chordata; Aves; Galliformes; Phasianidae
Source: Ensembl